CGCGGCUGUAAGGAUUACAUGAACAGAGACUGGUAGAGCUGGAAGAAAAGGAUUAUGAAAUGGUACAGUACAAGGCAAGACACCUGGCUGCCCGAAUUCAGCACUCAGGAAAGCCGUUCUGGAGAAUUGCUCAGACUGGAAUCACCCCAUGGGACUUGAAGUGAAUUCAAUUGAAGAACUUGCUGUAAACAUGUUGAUCAUAAUGAAGAGCCUCUUGAAAUGCUUGAUUAAGUGUCUUCUGAAGAAUUUCCCCAACGUGGAUGGCAGUAGUGAGUAGCUAAUUGUACCAAUUUGUAUCCUGCAGGAAGCAGAUGGGAAUGUAGAGUUAGGAAUGCAAGAUGGUGACUGGGGAUGAUGCCUGUGAGAGAGAAAAGGACAAGGAGCAAGAAUGAGCAGGGAGAGUCGUCAGAUCAUAAUGCAGCUCUGGUCCAUGUGGAAGGAUGAGAGGAGGGGCAGAAUGGGGCAGCAUUGUCUUAGACCAUGAGACAGAUGUGACAAAAUCUUGGUCGAUCCAGUGGGGAGUUCUGGAGGAAAGAGUUCCUAUUAGAAGAGUACCACAUUGGGCAGAAAUGGCCAGGCCUUAGUACUGCCACCAUGCUUAGUCCAUGGCUGGAAUCUGCUUAGGGAAAGCAUGGCCUUGUCAAGAAGUUGUGGCUGAUCUUGGAAGGUGCCGUAGCCAGAGGCUGUCAGCUAACUGCACUGCUCACGAAUAUUUGACAAAUUCUUUCUCGAAGCAAGU
Long non-coding RNA from Lepus europaeus (European hare), 739 nucleotides. RefSeq lists it as uncharacterized. The record is from RefSeq and is a predicted model, not a curated record. Lineage: Eukaryota; Metazoa; Chordata; Mammalia; Lagomorpha; Leporidae. The transcript is spliced from 3 exons.